This 573-nucleotide ribosomal RNA is filed under the name Salmonella enterica subsp. enterica. RNAcentral's name for it is "partial 23S ribosomal RNA". It matches the Rfam family "Bacterial large subunit ribosomal RNA", at positions 2370 to 2925 of the family's 2925-position model. Lineage: Bacteria; Pseudomonadati; Pseudomonadota; Gammaproteobacteria; Enterobacterales; Enterobacteriaceae. The record is from RNAcentral.
UGACUGCGAGCGUGACGGCGCGAGCAGGUGCGAAAGCAGGUCAUAGUGAUCCGGUGGUUCUGAAUGGAAGGGCCAUCGCUCAACGGAUAAAAGGUACUCCGGGGAUAACAGGCUGAUACCGCCCAAGAGUUCAUAUCGACGGCGGUGUUUGGCACCUCGAUGUCGGCUCAUCACAUCCUGGGGCUGAAGUAGGUCCCAAGGGUAUGGCUGUUCGCCAUUUAAAGUGGUACGCGAGCUGGGUUUAGAACGUCGUGAGACAGUUCGGUCCCUAUCUGCCGUGGGCGCUGGAGAACUGAGGGGGGCUGCUCCUAGUACGAGAGGACCGGAGUGGACGCAUCACUGGUGUUCGGGUUGUCAUGCCAAUGGCACUGCCCGGUAGCUAAAUGCGGAAGAGAUAAGUGCUGAAAGCAUCUAAGCACGAAACUUGCCCCGAGAUGAGUUCUCCCUGAGACUUAGAGUCUCCUGAAGGAACGUUGAAGACGACGACGUUGAUAGGCCGGGUGUGUAAGCGCAGCGAUGCGUUGAGCUAACCGGUACUAAUGAACCGUGAGGCUUAACCUUACAACGCCGAAG